RNAcentral lists this ribosomal RNA (353 nucleotides) under uncultured bacterium. Its description in RNAcentral is "partial 16S ribosomal RNA". It matches the Rfam family "Bacterial small subunit ribosomal RNA", at positions 338 to 688 of the family's 1533-position model. The record is from RNAcentral.
CCUACGGGUGGCAGCAGUGAGGAAUAUUGGUCAAUGGCCGCAAGGCUGAACCAGCCAAGUCGCGUGCAGGAAGAAGGAUCUAUGGUUUGUAAACUUCUUUUAUAGGGGAAUAAAGGUAUCCACGUGUGGAUUUUUGCAUGUACCCUAUGAAUAAGCAUCGGCUAACUCCGUUCCAGCAGCCGCGGUAAUACGGAGGAUGCGAGCGUUAUCCGGAUUUAUUGGGUUUAAAGGGUGCGUAGAUUGUUUUUUAAGUCAGCGGUGAAAGUUUGUGGCUCAACCAUAAAAUUGCCGUUGAAACUGGAAGACUUGAGUGUAUUUGAGGUAGGCGGAAUGCGUGGUGUAGCGGUGAAAUG